Molecule: ribosomal RNA, 477 nt
Filed under: Bacillus cereus
Lineage: Bacteria; Bacillati; Bacillota; Bacilli; Caryophanales; Bacillaceae
Description: bacterial SSU rRNA
Rfam family: Bacterial small subunit ribosomal RNA
Source: RNAcentral
CACAUCCUUUGACUUUCCUUAAAAUAAGAUUUUUCCUUCGGGACAAGAGUGACAGGUGGUGCAUGGUUGUCGUCAACUCGUGUCGUGAAAUGUUGGGUUAAGUCCCGCAACGAGCGCAACCCUUCAUUUUAGUUGCCAUCAUUAAGUUGGGCACUCUAAAGGGACUGCCGGGGAUAACUCGGAGGAAGGUGGGGAUGACGUCAAAUCAUCAUGCCCCUUAUGACUAGGGCUACACACGUGCUACAAUGGGUGGUACAAAGAGUUGCCAAACCGCGAGGUGGAGCUAAUCUCAUAAAACCAUUCUCAGUUCGGAUUGUAGGCUGCAACUUGCCUACAUGAAGCUGGAGUUGCUAGUAAUCGCGGAUCAGCAUGCCGCGGUGAAUACGUUUCCGGGCCUUGUACACACCCCCCAUCCCACCAUGAGAGUUUGGAACCCCCAAAGUCCGUGGGGUACCUUUUUGUAAGUUUAUCCCCUUC